This 253-nucleotide ribosomal RNA is filed under the name uncultured bacterium. Its description in RNAcentral is "partial 16S ribosomal RNA". It matches the Rfam family "Bacterial small subunit ribosomal RNA", at positions 524 to 776 of the family's 1533-position model. The record is from RNAcentral.
UACGAAGGGGGCUAGCGUUGCUCGGAAUCACUGGGCGUAAAGAGUGUGUAGGCGGUGCUCUAAGUUCGGUGUGAAAUCUCCUGGCUCAACUGGGAGGGUGCGCCGGAAACUGGAGUGCUUGAGCGUGGGAGAGGAAAGCGGAAUUCCUGGUGUAGCGGUGAAAUGCGUAGAUAUCAGGAGGAACACCUGUGGUGUAGACGGCUUUCUGGACCAUAGCUGACGCUGAGACACGAAAGCGUGGGUAGCAAACAGG